This 303-nucleotide ribosomal RNA is filed under the name uncultured bacterium. RNAcentral describes it as "bacterial SSU rRNA". It matches the Rfam family "Bacterial small subunit ribosomal RNA", at positions 28 to 332 of the family's 1533-position model. The record is from RNAcentral.
GACGAACGCUGGCGGCGUGCUUAACACAUGCAAGUCGAGCGGUAAGGCCCUUUCGGGGUACGACGAGCGGCGAACGGGUGAGUAACACGUGGGUGACCUGCCCUCAGCUCUGGGAUAAGCCUGGGAAACCGGGUCUAAUACUGGAUAUGACUCCAUGACGCAUGUUGUGGGGUGGAAAGCCUUGUGCGGCUGAGGAUGGGCCCGCGGCCUAUCAGCUUGUUGGUGGGGUGANGGCCUACCAAGGCGACGACGGGUAGCCGGCCUGAGAGGGCGACCGGCCACACUGGGACUGAGACACGGCCC